RNAcentral lists this ribosomal RNA (492 nucleotides) under uncultured bacterium. RNAcentral's name for it is "partial 16S ribosomal RNA". It matches the Rfam family "Bacterial small subunit ribosomal RNA", at positions 29 to 507 of the family's 1533-position model. The record is from RNAcentral.
AUUGAACGCUGGCGGCAUGCUUUACACAUGCAAGUCGAACGGUAACAGGCCUUCGGGUGCUGACGAGUGGCGAACGGGUGAGUAAUGCAUCGGAACGUACCCAGAGGUGGGGGAUAACGCAGCGAAAGCUGUGCUAAUACCGCAUGUGAUCUGAGGAUGAAAGCGGGGGACCGAGCAGCAAUGUUUGGCCUCGCGCCUUUGGAGCGGCCGAUGUCGGAUUAGCUAGUUGGUGGGGUAAAGGCCUACCAAGGCGACGAUCCGUAGCUGGUCUGAGAGGACGACCAGCCACACUGGGACUGAGACACGGCCCAGACUCCUACGAGAGGCAGCAGUGGGGAAUUUUGGACAAUGGGCGCAAGCCUGGUCCAGCAAUGCCGCGUGCGGGAAGAAGGCCUUCGGGUUGUAAACCGCUUUUGGCAGGAACGAAACGGUGUCCGCUAAUACCGGGCGCUAAUGACGGUACCUGCAGAAUAAGCACCGGCUAACUACGUG